CAGGGCAUAAUUUAAAUAGAAUGUCGGCUUUGGGGGCCGGUAGUAAAGGUUAAAUUCCUUUUGCCUUGA
Molecule: transfer RNA, 69 nt
Filed under: Pelophylax bedriagae (Levant water frog)
Lineage: Eukaryota; Metazoa; Chordata; Amphibia; Anura; Ranidae
Also listed under: 6 other names
Description: tRNA-Pro
Rfam family: tRNA
About the family: Transfer RNA (tRNA) molecules are approximately 80 nucleotides in length.
Source: RNAcentral